CAAUAGCGUAUAUUAAAGUUGCUGCAGUUAAAAAGCUCGUAGUUGGAUUUGUGGCACGGUCGUCCGGCGGGGCUUCCGGUUUCAUAGUAUCCCGGGGCCGUUUGUCUGGGUUCUUGGCCGCCCCAUUCUUCGGUUGCGUGUCGCUGGCAUUAGGUUGUCGGCUUCUUCGCGCCGAUCGUUUACUGUGAAAAAAUUAGAGUGUUCAAAGCAGGCUUAGGCCGUUGGAUACAUUAGCAUGGAAUAAUGAGAUAGGGCCACGGCGGUCUAUUUUGUUGGUUUGCACGUUGUGGUAAUGAUUAACAGGAACGGUUGGGGGUAUUCGUAUUCAAUUGUCAGAGGUGAAAUUCUUGGAUUUAUGGAAGACGAACUACUGCGAAAGCAUUUACCAAGGAUGUUUUCAUUAA
Molecule: ribosomal RNA, 404 nt
Filed under: uncultured eukaryote
Lineage: Eukaryota
Description: partial 18S ribosomal RNA
Rfam family: Eukaryotic small subunit ribosomal RNA
Source: RNAcentral